UAANCCUGAGAAACCCAAAAGAUCGAAUGGGGAGAUUCAUCGUUAGCGACGCUGGCUUCCGUGUGGUUCGCGAUGACCGGAGCUUCGGUUCCGCGUCACGCGUCCGCUGCGGUAUGCCCGGUGUCGUCGACGUGCACUUCUCCCCUAGUAGGACGUCGCGACCCGUUGGGUGCCGGCCUACGGCCCGGUUGGUCGACUGUCGCGUCGCGUUCACGUGCACGCGGCAGACCACCGGUCGCCCGGCCGGCUGCCCGGCGGUAUAGAUCGCUAUAAAACGGUAUUGGGCCGCAUUAAGUGCGUUCUGGCCCGUUGGCAGGCUCGUCUCGCUCGGAUUUACGGACCUAGUGCCGUUGCCGGGCGCUUGGCGUGGCCGUUAGUCAACGAUGUCCUCGGACUGGCUCUUACAUUCGA
Molecule: ribosomal RNA, 411 nt
Filed under: Pachycrepoideus vindemmiae
Lineage: Eukaryota; Metazoa; Arthropoda; Insecta; Hymenoptera; Pteromalidae
Description: eukaryotic LSU rRNA
Source: RNAcentral